AAUGGUAGGGGAGCGUCCCGUCCAGCCGUGAAGGAGGAGCGGAAGCGAAUCUGGAGCGGGCGGGAGUGCGAAUGUCGGCAUGAGUAGCGCGAGGGGGGUGCGAAUCCCCCCCACCGAAUGCCCCAGGGUUCCGCAGCCAUGCUGAUCAACUGCGGGUGAGUCGGGCCUAAGCCGAGGCCGCGAGGCGUAGGUGAUGGACAACAGGUUCAGAUUCCUGUACCGCUCGGAAGUGUUUGAGCGAUGGGGGGACGCAGGAGGGUAGGUCCGGGGUCGCAAGGCCUCCAAGCCGGUAGGGAGCGCGGAUAGGCAAAUCCGUUCGCGCGUUGACCGAGGGGUGAUGGGAAGGCGCGGGGUUCGCCCCAAGCCGCACGGAUUGAGCCCAAACUGCCAAGAAAAGCCUCUAGUGAGCGACCGAGCGCCCGUACCGCAAACCGACACAGG
This 441-nucleotide ribosomal RNA is filed under the name Thalassiosira minuscula. Its description in RNAcentral is "partial Bacterial large subunit ribosomal RNA". It matches the Rfam family "Bacterial large subunit ribosomal RNA", at positions 1224 to 1663 of the family's 2925-position model. The record is from RNAcentral. Lineage: Eukaryota; Bacillariophyta; Thalassiosirophyceae; Thalassiosirales; Thalassiosiraceae.